UUUGACUAUCAAGAAUCAUAUUUAAUUUGGUAGAACUAAGUGUAAACUUAUCUACUAAGAAUUUAUAUUUUUCAGCAUCUUCUUUUAACUUGACAUUUUCAGCAAUUAGAUUCUUGGUUUCAUUUGUGAGUUUCCUACUUAAUGUUUCAUAGUUAUGAGAUAGUUUUAACUUAUCUUUAUGAGAUAGUUUUAACUUAUCUUUGAUAAGAGAUUGAUUUUCUUCUUUUAGAACUUUAUUUUUAUUGAUUAGUUUUUUAUGUUCUUCCAUAAGUUCUAAAAAUGCAUCAUGUAAUUCAUCAACAGUAAAAUCACAUUCAAGUUCAGAAUCUACCUCAUCGUCAUUGGCCAUAU
This 351-nucleotide long non-coding RNA is filed under the name Phoenix dactylifera (date palm). Its description in RNAcentral is "long non-coding RNA (PDAC_LNC020200)". Lineage: Eukaryota; Viridiplantae; Streptophyta; Magnoliopsida; Arecales; Arecaceae. The record is from RNAcentral.